GCCUUUGUAGCUCAACGGUAGAGCGGAAUACUGUUAAUAUUUUGAUAGAUGUUCAAUUCAUCUUAAGGGCU
RNAcentral lists this transfer RNA (71 nucleotides) under Sydowia polyspora. Its description in RNAcentral is "tRNA-Asn". It matches the Rfam family "tRNA". From Rfam's summary of the family: Transfer RNA (tRNA) molecules are approximately 80 nucleotides in length. Their secondary structure includes four short double-helical elements and three loops (D, anti-codon, and T loops). Lineage: Eukaryota; Fungi; Ascomycota; Dothideomycetes; Dothideales; Dothioraceae. The record is from RNAcentral.